AAAGGGAGACCUAAUUCGGGUAGGAGACGAAAAAAAAGUAGUCCCUACCAAGAAUCAAUCCCAAAAGGUCGGAACGAGGUAUGUGGCUUUCAAACUAGGUUCUGGGUUCAUAAAAGACCUGAAUCAGGAACAAGGGCUAUUAGCUCAGGUGGUUAGAGCGCACCCCUGAUAAGGGUGAGGUCCCUGGUUCGAGUCCAGGAUGGCCCACCUGCACAGGUGGCAAAAACAAGAGAAACGAGGAAUCAGCACCUUAUCUUACUUACAUAGUAAGAGAGAAUGCUGGCUCUGAGUACAGAGUCCAGAGGAACCUUGAAAACUGCAUAGAGCUAGGUGAAAAAGCCAAAAAAGAAGACCGUCAG
This 359-nucleotide transfer RNA is filed under the name uncultured Microcystis sp. Its description in RNAcentral is "partial 16S-23S ribosomal RNA intergenic spacer". The stretch from base 134 to 207 matches the Rfam family "tRNA". The record is from RNAcentral. Lineage: Bacteria; Bacillati; Cyanobacteriota; Cyanophyceae; Chroococcales; Microcystaceae.